This is a long non-coding RNA of Limulus polyphemus (Atlantic horseshoe crab), 150 nucleotides long. RefSeq lists it as uncharacterized. NCBI's taxonomy places the organism in Eukaryota, Metazoa, Arthropoda, Merostomata, Xiphosura, Limulidae. The transcript has 3 exons. The record is from RefSeq and is a predicted model, not a curated record.
AGUCAACGAGCAAAGACAAUGUGUCCCGUGUUCUAAGGAUCAUUAUAGUGAUUAUUUUGGAUUUUACAAAUGUUUGGCUUGUCCAGAAGGUCGAUUUGCAAAUCCAGGAGCUUCCUCGUUGGAUGCAUGUAACAUACUCGUAUUAAUAAA